RNAcentral lists this ribosomal RNA (250 nucleotides) under uncultured bacterium. RNAcentral's name for it is "partial 16S ribosomal RNA". It matches the Rfam family "Bacterial small subunit ribosomal RNA", at positions 355 to 622 of the family's 1533-position model. The record is from RNAcentral.
GGGGGAAUCUUAGACAAUGGGCGCAAGCCUGAUCUAGCCAUGCCGCGUGAGCGAUGAAGGCCUUAGGGUUGUAAAGCUCUUUCAGCGAGGAAGAUAAUGACUGUACUCGCAGAAGAAGCCCCGGCUAACUCCGUGCCAGCAGCCGCGGUAAUACGGAGGGGGCUAGCGUUGUUCGGAAUUACUGGGCGUAAAGCGCACGUAGGCGGACUGGAAAGUCAGGGGUGAAAUCCCGGGGCUCAACCCCGGAACU